AUGGAAAUUCAACAUUAAUAUUAUAAUAUUUAUUUAUAAAUAUUAUAAAAAUAGUGUGCAAUUUUUCCAUAUAAGGACAUUGUAAUCUGUUAAUGUAAUAAAUAUUUAUCAUAAGAUUCAAUAAAUAAAAGUUUAUUCAAAUUAGUUAUUUUCCGAUUUCUAACAUAGAAUAAAUUUAAUUGAAUUUGAUAAAUCAUUGACAGAUUUAUUUAUAUAUAGUGCUUAAAUUUUUAAUAGAAUUUUACAAUAAUUUAUAAAUGUAUUUUCAUUUAUUUAUUUGUUGUAUGCACUUAUAUGAUUAACAAUGCUAUAGAUUCAGGAUACCUUCGGGACCCGUCUUGAAACACGGACCAAGGAGUCUAACAUAUGUGCAAGUCAUUGGGUAUUUUUAAUAAAACCCAAAGGCAUAAUUAACUUAACUGUUUUUAAAAUGGGAUUAGUUUAUAUUUUAUUAUGAAAUAUUAAUUCAAUCCCGGGGCGUUCUAUAUAGUUAUGUAUAAUAAUAUUUAUAUUAUUUAUGCCUCUAACUAGAGCGUACCUUGAGCAUAUAUGCUGU
RNAcentral lists this ribosomal RNA (556 nucleotides) under Merodon albifasciatus. RNAcentral describes it as "partial 28S ribosomal RNA". The record is from RNAcentral. Lineage: Eukaryota; Metazoa; Arthropoda; Insecta; Diptera; Syrphidae.